This 277-nucleotide unclassified non-coding RNA is filed under the name Ambisporaceae sp. Its description in RNAcentral is "partial contains 5.8S ribosomal RNA and internal transcribed spacer 2". The stretch from base 1 to 71 matches the Rfam family "5.8S ribosomal RNA", at positions 84 to 154 of the family's 154-position model. The record is from RNAcentral. Lineage: Eukaryota; Fungi; Glomeromycota; Glomeromycetes; Archaeosporales; Ambisporaceae.
GUGAAUCAUCAAAUUUUUGAACGCAUAUUGCACUCCCCGGCAUUCCGGGGAGUAUGCCUGUUUCAGCAUCAGAAUCAUCCUCGAGCCCACGAGACGGACUCCUAACGCGUAUGCCGUCUUCUGCUUGAAAAAAAAAACUUGAAAUAAAUGGUCAAGUCUCAUUUUAGUCGAGACGCGUAAUAAUAUUAUUUCGCGAAAUCUUUAUUAUGUGACUAUCAAGUUUUGUUGCAUACAAAUUUGGUUUGUAUGCGAUCAAUACAAAUAUUUUGAACAUUAC